GACGAACGCUGGCGGUGUGCUUAACACAUGCAAGUCGAACGGUAAGGCCCUUUCGGGGGUACACGAGUGGCGAACGGGUGAGUAACACGUGAGUAACCUGCCCUCAUCUCUGGGAUAACAGUCGGAAACGGUUGCUAAUACUGGAUAUGAGCCUGCAAGGCAUCUUGUGGGUUGGAAAGAUUUUUUGGUUGGGGAUGGACUCGCGGCCUAUCAGCUUGUUGGUGAGGUAGUGGCUCACCAAGGCUUCGACGGGUAGCCGGCCUGAGAGGGCGACCGGCCACAUUGGGACUGAGAUACGGCCCAAACUCCUACGGGAGGCAGCAGUGGGGAAUAUUGCACAAUGGACGGAAGUCUGAUGCAGCAACGCCGCGUGCGGGAUGACGGCCUUCGGGUUGUAAACCGCUUUCAAUUGUGACGAAGUUUUUUGUGACGGUAGCAGUAGAAGAAGCACCGGCUAACUACGUG
RNAcentral lists this ribosomal RNA (465 nucleotides) under uncultured bacterium. RNAcentral describes it as "partial 16S ribosomal RNA". It matches the Rfam family "Bacterial small subunit ribosomal RNA", at positions 28 to 507 of the family's 1533-position model. The record is from RNAcentral.